Molecule: transfer RNA, 83 nt
Filed under: Sphagnurus paluster
Lineage: Eukaryota; Fungi; Basidiomycota; Agaricomycetes; Agaricales; Lyophyllaceae
Description: Tephrocybe palustris tRNA
Rfam family: tRNA
About the family: Transfer RNA (tRNA) molecules are approximately 80 nucleotides in length. Their secondary structure includes four short double-helical elements and three loops (D, anti-codon, and T loops).
Source: Rfam by way of RNAcentral
GGGGUCUUGGCACAGUGGUAGCGCGCAUGCUUCGCAUAGGUUGUGCUUGCAUGAGGUCGUGAGUUCAAUCCUCACAGUCUCCA